UCCCAUAGUGUUGAGUUAGGUUCAGGGCAGCUUCCCUGUUCCGUUAAUUAAGCUUUGGAACACUGAAAUACAGGCUAAGGAGGAUGACUGGGUAGAAAACGCUAGUUUACCCAAGUACUUCUCCAUCUACAACA
Erinaceus europaeus (western European hedgehog) is the source of this 134-nucleotide small nucleolar RNA. The record is from Ensembl. NCBI's taxonomy places the organism in Eukaryota, Metazoa, Chordata, Mammalia, Eulipotyphla, Erinaceidae.